RNAcentral lists this ribosomal RNA (1313 nucleotides) under Triticum aestivum (bread wheat). Its description in RNAcentral is "partial small subunit ribosomal RNA". Lineage: Eukaryota; Viridiplantae; Streptophyta; Magnoliopsida; Poales; Poaceae. The record is from RNAcentral.
GGAGUGGUGGUUGCUCCUAGUCGCAGACUUCUUUAUUAAUCUCAAUCUGGAUCCGGGCACGGGGAGCGAUUGACUGAUCGACGAGACUCGAGAGCCUGGAGAGCCGGGGGUUUCGCUUCUCGUUGCGUUUGGAGUCUUGCCGGGUCUCGGUUUUCGAGCAGAUCCAGGGAACACCGGUUUUCCUUUGAUUUUGCCGAAAUUUUUGAUCUGAUCGGAGCGAUCCCGGAGCUUCGCAAGGAGCAAGGCAUUUUUCUGGGGGCCAUGGCCAUGGGGCUCGGCCGAUUCACACACUGGCUCUGGCCGGGUAACGCCGCGCGAGUUGGCAACCACGAGCUCCCCGGCAUCGCCUUGACGGGCGCCUCCUUCCCGGAGUUCCCCUCCGGGUUCCGUGAGGCGGACGCUAUCGCCUUCUCCAGUGCCGCCGCCGGCCGCCGCACGCGGCCGAGGAGGGUCAAGAACCAGCGGCGCAGUCGCGGGGAGCCCAGAAUCGACAGGGAGUACGACAUGGUCAUCGUGCCGUCCGACGGCGGCGGGUGCCUUUCCGGGUCCGAGUCCGACGACUCCGACUGGUCCAUCGGCUGGCUGGAGCCGCAGGCGCCGGAGAUGCAGACGGACGGUGACCAGGAGACCUCCUUCGCCGUCCUCGUGCCCUGCUACCGCCACGGCCGCGCCGAGCAGCCCGCGAUGCCCCAGGGACGCUUCCUUGGCGCUGGCCCUCUCGCCGAUGGCGGCCUCUCUGAUGGAAAGAAUUUUGUAGAGCAGUGGCUUUCUUCCCUCCAGAACUGAUAUCUGGAAUCUCCGUUAGCUAUGUUGUAUAUAUUAUUGCUCAGUAUCAUUAUCGAUGAAGGAAGACAUCAAAACCCAAAAAAAUGAGAAAAUGGAAAAAGAACAAAAAGAGGAGCAGCGGAAUUUUGAAGCAGCACUGAACGGGUUUGUCCUUCCGGAGGUUUCAAGGCUAAUUCUACUCAUUGCAAAGCAAGGCCAAUGCUGAACAAGACCAGCUGCGCUGCGGGUCGUAGAAGACACAUUCAUUCUUAUUAACCAAUCUACGACAACAUUUGUAGAUAUUAUUUGGUAUCACAUCGUUCAUUUUGUCCCACUUUGAUUCUGGACCUCGACCCUGCUACUGGCAUGUGUAUAUAUGGUGUCAUUUGCCGUGUAUAUAUAAGCUGCAGAUGUGCAGCUCCUCAGUGUGCGUGUGUGUUGAUGUAGAUCGGAACAGGAUUGCUCCUUGUGAAAUUCAGAUGUAUAUAAGCUUUUUGCGUUUUUGUGGAACAAGUUCUUGGCUCAAUUUUCUGACCUUUUGUUGUUGU